RNAcentral lists this ribosomal RNA (274 nucleotides) under uncultured bacterium. RNAcentral describes it as "partial 16S ribosomal RNA". It matches the Rfam family "Bacterial small subunit ribosomal RNA", at positions 523 to 796 of the family's 1533-position model. The record is from RNAcentral.
AUACGGAGGGUGCAAACGUUGUUCGGAAUCACUGGGCGUAAAGGGCGCGCAGGCGGUUUGAUUAGUCAGAUGUGAAAGCCCACGGCUUAACCGUGGAAGUGCAUUUGAAACUGUCAGACUUGAGUACCAGAGGGGGUAGUGGAAUUCCCGGUGUAGAGGUGAAAUUCGUAGAUAUCGGGAGGAAUACCGGUGGCGAAGGCGACUACCUGGCUGGAUACUGACGCUGAGGCGCGAAAGCGUGGGGAGCAAACAGGAUUAGAUACCCGGGUAGUCC